UCGACUGGACUAUCUAUCUCAUAAGUGUUCCAUCAAUCAUAGGCGGCUCCUCGAAGCUGAAAAGCAGUGAAGGAAACCCCACUGGACUCCAGUAUGCCCAUAGUGUAAGGAAUACAGUGGCACUCCUCUAGAAAUCCCAAAGCAUCAUCUUUCACUAAUUCACUGAAAAUCGGAGGACCAUGCUUCUUGAACCUCUCCAACCUCCGCUGCUCG
Molecule: long non-coding RNA, 213 nt
Filed under: Nicotiana benthamiana
Lineage: Eukaryota; Viridiplantae; Streptophyta; Magnoliopsida; Solanales; Solanaceae
Description: long non-coding RNA (NBEN_LNC039419)
Source: RNAcentral